CGGCACCGCCCCCCGCGGUUCUCUGCUUCCCGGAGGGAGCCGAGCUCCCGGUGUCCCCGGGGAGGGCGAGCCCCCAGGCUACCGGGUGGCCCUGGCCCAGUCCCCAGCCGGCGGGAGCGAGGGGAAGGCUCUGACGGGCGGGCGUCGGGUGUCCUGGCGCUUCCCUGUGGACUGACCCCGAGCGCGAAAAGGUAACAGCCGCCCAGACGCCCGCCCGCCGCUGCCAGGGCCGCGGCUCCCGCGCGGUUCCCUGUGGUGUGCUGGCUCCGAAAGCUGGCCGGACCUUGGGGCUCCUUCGCCGGGACGUGGGUUGAAGCAGCCACCGCAGCGAAGCGCGCCUCCUGCUCGAAUUUGCCAGCAUUCCUAGGCAGGCAAAUCGCUGCCUUCUCUCUGCUGGGAACCCUGGCAAAGAUUUUGAAAAGCUGAAAACACUAAGCAGUUUGGUUCAUUAAGCCUAAGCAAAGAAUCCAAGACAAUCGAAGAGAGGUAAAGAAAUAAAAAAAGAUUUUUUCCUGAUAUAUGAUUAUUCCAGUAUAUGAGAUAUAUCAUUCCAAUAU
RNAcentral lists this long non-coding RNA (557 nucleotides) under Suricata suricatta (meerkat). Its description in RNAcentral is "lncRNA (ENSSSUG00005004467.1)". Lineage: Eukaryota; Metazoa; Chordata; Mammalia; Carnivora; Herpestidae. The record is from RNAcentral.